ACUCCGCUUGAUCCUGGCGGACCCAACUGCUAUCGGGGUGGGACUAAGCCAUGCGAGUCGGCGCUCCAAGCCAUGGUGGGGCGCGGCGCACGGCUCAGUAACACGUAGCUAACCUACCCUCCGGACGGGGACAACCCCGGGAAACUGGGGCUAAUCCCCGAUAGGUGAGGAGGCCUGGAACGGUUCUUCACCUAAAGGGAGCUGGAACCAUGCAUCCAACUCCGCCGGAGGAUGGGGCUGCGGCCGAUCAGGUUGCUGGUGGGGUAACGGCCCACCAGGCCUAUAACCGGUACGGGCCGUGAGAGCGGUAGCCCGGAGAUGGGCACUGAGAUAAGGGCCCAGGCCCUACGGGGCGCAGCAGGCGCGAAACCUCCGCAAUGCGCGUAAGCGUGACGGGGCCACCCCGAGUGCCGUCCGCUGAGGAUGGCUUUUCCUCGGUCUAACCAGCCGAGGGAAUAAGGGGAGGGCAAGCCUGGUGUCAGCCGCCGCGGUAAUACCAGCUCCCCGAGUGGUUGGGACGAUUAUUGGGUCUAAAGCGUCCGUAGCCGGCCGAGGAAGUUCCCCGUUAAAUCCGGCGAUUCAAUCGUCGGGCUGCGGAGAAUACUCCUCGGCUUGGGGGCGGGGGAGGCCGGCGGUAGUCCCGGGGUAGGGGCGAAAUCCUAUAAUCCCGGGAGGACCACCAGUGGCGAAGGCGGCCGGCCAAAACGCGCCCGACGGUGAGGGACGAAAGCUGGGGGAGCGAACGGGAUUAGAUACCCCGGUAGUCCCAGCCGUAAACGAUGCAGGCUAGGUGUUGGAACGGCUACGAGCCGUUCCAGUGCCGCAGGGAAGCCGUUAAGCCUGCCACCUGGGGAGUACGGCCGCAAGGCUGAAAUCCUAGGAGGCGGGAUGAGGCGUUAGACUAGGAAGCGAGAUGAACCCAGCUGAUCCUUAAGCCCCUAAUAUGGCCGUGCACUGUUGAAGGAGUUAGGAUAAUCAUGCGUCGAUGGGUGGCCCACCGGCCGGUGGGAUGCCUCUCCAAUCUUUGAAGGGCGGUGUACAAAGGGGCACCGCCGAUCGCCUUGUAGGAGCUUCCAGGUCCACCGUUUCCUCCAGCCUCCCAGGACAGCACACUUAAAGGAAUUGGCGGGGGAGCACCACAAGGGGUGAAGCCUGCGGUUUAAUUGGAGUCAACCCCGGGAACCUUACCAGGGGCGACAGCUGGAUGAAGGCCAGAUUAAAGGUCUUGCCGGACUAGCUGAGAGGAGGUGCAUGGCCGUCGCCAGUUCGUGCCGUGAGGUGUUCUCUUAAGUGAGACAACGAACGAGACCCGCGCCUCUAGUUGCCAGCGGAUCCCGUCAGGGAUCCGGGCACAUUAGAGGGACUGCCUCCGCUAAGGAGGAGGAAGGAGCGGGCCACGGCAGGUCAGUAUACAGCACGCUCAGCCGAGGAACCCUCCCAUGUUCCAAUGGGGGACCUAAAGGCCAGAGGUGCUGGCUGAAGCCCCGAAUCCCCUGGGCCACACGCGGGCUGCAAUGGCUGGGACAAUGGGUUCCCACCCCGAAAGGGGGAGGUAAUCCCUAAACCCAGCCUCAGUUUGGAUCGAGGGCUGCAACUCGCCCUCGUGAAAAUGGAAUCCCUAGUAACCGCGUGUCACCAUCGCGCGGUGAAUACGUCCCUGCUCCUUGCACACACCGCCCGUCGCUCCACCCGAGUUUGGUUUAGGUGAGGCGUGGUCUACCUUGGCCACGUCGAACCUGAACUAAGCGAGGGGGGAGAAGUCGUAACAAGGUGGCCGUAGGGGAACCUGCGGCCGGAUCACCUCCU
This 1806-nucleotide ribosomal RNA is filed under the name Candidatus Bathyarchaeota archaeon. RNAcentral describes it as "bacterial SSU rRNA". It matches the Rfam family "Archaeal small subunit ribosomal RNA". The record is from RNAcentral. Lineage: Archaea; Thermoproteati; Candidatus Bathyarchaeota. RNAcentral also lists the same sequence under 1 other name.